This 542-nucleotide ribosomal RNA is filed under the name uncultured bacterium. RNAcentral describes it as "bacterial SSU rRNA". It matches the Rfam family "Bacterial small subunit ribosomal RNA", at positions 777 to 1319 of the family's 1533-position model. The record is from RNAcentral.
AAUAGAUACCCUGGUAGUCCACGCCGUAAACGUUGGGCACUAGGUGUGGGGUCUAUUCAACGGACUCCGUGCCGUCGCUAACGCAUUAAGUGCCCCGCCUGGGGAGUACGGCCGCAAGGCUAAAACUCAAAGGAAUUGACGGGGGCCCGCACAAGCAGCGGAGCAUGUUGCCUAAUUCGAGGCAACGCGAAGAACCUUACCUGGGUUUGACAUGUAGGGAAAAGCCAUAGAGAUAUGGUGUCCUUAGGGGUCCUACACAGGUGGUGCAUGGUUGUCGUCAGCUCGUGUCGUGAGAUGUUGGGUUAAGUCCCGCAACGAGCGCAACCCUUGUCCUAUGUUGCCAGCACGUUAUGGUGGGGACUCGUAGGAGACUGCCGGGGUCAACUCGGAGGAAGGUGGGGACGACGUCAAAUCAUCAUGCCCCUUAUAUCCAGGGCUGCAAACAUGCUACAAUGGCCGGUACAAAGGGCUGCUAAACCGUGAGGUGGAGCGAAUCCCAUAAAGCCGGUCUCAGUUCGGAUUGGAGUCUGCAACUCGACUCC